Molecule: small nuclear RNA, 103 nt
Organism: Cebus imitator (Panamanian white-faced capuchin)
Lineage: Eukaryota; Metazoa; Chordata; Mammalia; Primates; Cebidae
Source: RefSeq, a predicted model, not a curated record
GUGCUCCCUUUGGCAGCACACAUGCUAAAAUUGGAAGGAUACAGAGAUCAGCAUGGCCCCUGCACAAGGAUAACACGCAAUGCUGGCUCCACCAGGGGUCUUU